CGGCCUGCUGUCGCUGUCUCGUGUUUUUGUUUUCAUUUACAGGUCUGUAAAACUACAGAAAAGCAUAGAUUUACAUUUAAAAUCAUUUUUGGUUGGUAAUGACGUGUAUUCCGCCGGUUGUUUCACUGGCAAAUGUAUUGCGUUCGUCUUGAACGUGAGGCGGCCGUAUAGAAGAGCUAAGUUAGCUAGGUUAGCUUAGCCUACCAAUACCAAUGACUGUUUUGGCACCUGUUUAGACCUCUUCCGCCAAAUCUGGGCUCAUACUAUGUUAAGAUCUGUUAGAAAAUGUUUUUUUAAUUAAUGCUUUCACCAAGCUAAACAUUUUGCUUUAGAUGAAGCAGACUUACUGACACACCAAGUAAUAUAUUGAUUUAUGUUUAUGCAUAGUGGUGCAAUAGUUUAUGCCUUGUGACACCCUGUGUCUGUGAAUAACUUGGAGGGAGCUACAUGUGUCUGCAUACUCACGUUUAGACGCACACACAGCUAACGUUGCUGUUGAUGGUUACUUUUUGUACCUGUGGAAAGUUAGCUAACUUAAGCAUAACUGUUUCCCAACUGGCUUUCUAGUUGAUGUCAAGAAGUUGAUAAAAGUAAAAAAUGGAGAGAACUAGUAGGGUGUCUGUUUCACAGAAGCAAACAGAAAGGAGGCUAGAACAACUGGUGGAGGACCUGCACCUCCACCACUGACGCAUGCAGAGGAGAUGGCCCCUUAGCCUGAACACUGGAAAGCAGAGGCUGAAGGAAUUCCUGGAGGGAGUUUAUCAGAACCAGUCACUCCCCAGGAUACAAGUGCAUUUGUAAAAUUUACCGGUUAAGGAGUUGUAUAAACUAAAUCUCAAGGAAAUGUUAUACUUGGACAACCAGAUUGAAAGGACAGAUCUAGAAAUUGAAAUUCUCAAACAAAAGCUGGAGGUGAGUGUAUAGUUAAAGGUGAAUUGUAUGAAUUAUUGGAAGAAUCAUAAAAUCUAAUAAUUACCUUUUGUAUUUGUAGGAAAUGACGAAAACCAAAUCAAUUAUGAUUUGCAUUAUCUUUUAUUGGUGGUGGUGAUGGUUGAUUAAGACAUUACGGCAAAUCCCAUCUCUGACUGUGCAUCCACCCUGCAGAUUAUCGUGAUAGAGGGAGUCUUCCUCAGGGUCUUGUAUUUGUAGGGCAGGGUGUUGCUCCUCUCUAAUAAUUGCAAUAUUUUGGCAAGCAACACAUGUCACAAUAAUGUCACAGGCCUCUCAGGUAUUAACCUCAGGUGACGUAGGCACUGAAGACGUGCUUUCAACAGGCCUAUGAUCAUUUCCACCCGGGCUCUUGUUCUGCAGUGUGCUACAUUAAAGCACUGCUGGGGGCCUGCUGAGUAAGUUGCGUUUUGAUUACCUCGCUUCUUGAAACGGGUUUAAACUUACCCCGCUUUACGAGUUUAAGUUACCUCCCUUUCUGAAACCGAAAACUGAGUUUUCAACAAAACCUCCUUCUUGAAACGGGCCCCUGGUCCCUACCUAUUCUGUAAUGUUGAAAUGUUGGUGUGUUUUUUGUUUUCUGUUAAUGUUGUGUUUUUUGUUAAUGUCGUUGUGUUUCCUGUUAAUGGUGUCGUGUUUUGUCUUUUUGUUUGUUUGUGACUUGCACUUCAGGGCCACCGUAUGAUUCAAACUCUACAUUUAUUUACAUUAGUAUGUGAAGGACUAAUCAAUUUACUGACCUGUGAAAUGGGUGGGUAAUGUCAAAGACUAAAUGAUCCUUCAGACUCCUCAAGCUGCUGCCCAGCAGUAACAAACAGCAACCUGUUUAAUGUACUGUACAUAACUGUCGUAAUGUGCUGUGUUUGUGUACAGUAUGUGUGAGUGCUGUUUGGUGUAGACACAGAAAAGUGAAGGAGCUGAAAGCUGCUGGUCACAGAGCAGCAUGCCUGUGUAUAUGAAAUUAACAUUGGUUGUCCUUGAGGGCUUCCUGAUUCAAUCACACGCCUGAUGACGUCAUGCAGGGUUUUAAGUCAUAUUUCGGAUUAGUGAGUGAGUGAGAGAGAGAGGUAGAGAGGCAGGAUGAGUCACUGCCUCAUUGAUGACUGUCUCCACUGAGUGGUCAGAUACUUCAGGUACGAAUAGAGACACAGGCACAGCAUGACCGCCUAAUGGCACUCAAAUAAAAUGACUUAUUGGGAACUUGCAAAAUACAUCUUUUAAGAAGAUUAAAUAGUGCUGAUGCACCCUCCCUUUUCCUCUUCACCAUGAGGCUGGUGCUAAACAAUAAUGAAUCCUGCUCUAGUUUAUUUAUGAUCAGAUAUUUAAAUAGCAUAUCUGUGCUACCAUCUGAUGGACUUAUUCUUGGCUGCGUUAUAUUAUGGAGGGAUUCAGGAAAAAUGACCAUGUCCAGCUAAUACAUCAAACACCUCCAAUACUUUCAUUCAGGUCAAAUGCUUUGAUAUGACAGAAAUGUAUACAGCCCUGCAGUCAGACGUAUUAAGUAACUAAGUGCUGUAGCUAAGUACCACACUUUUUAUUUGACCUUUGUAUUUUACUCAGUUGCCUUGGUGCAAACAUCAGAUACUAUAAUCUUUAGAGAACUUCACUUUUAGUUUCCAUCCAAAUAUACAGACUUCAUGUAGGGCAUGGCCCCCAUUAAGCUCCACAACUUGAACUGAACUCAGUACAGGCCUGUUAAGCUAACAGUAACUGUCCUUACAUGUUUAUCUUUUAUUUUGAUUAAAACAUUUGUUCCCCAAAUUGUAAUGUAGGUAUGAAGAGUAGGUAACAAGAGAGUAAUUCUUGUUAAUACGGGUCAAGAAACCUGGUGUUACCAAAAGGUAGCAAUAAACUACUAAUGGUUUGGUAUUAAAAUUGAAACACAUUCGUAGGACUCCCUCUUGUGUUAAAAACUAGCAACUGCUUGUUUUCGUACUGUAUGACGUAAUAGACAAUUUGGACAAGACUGAGAACAACAAUACACACAUACACGACCAGUGUGCAAAAAUAUAACAAAUUUUAUAAUCUAUCUCGACGUGUGAAAACAGCCCAUUCGCAACAACAAAUAAGGCUCCAAAAGGUUUGCGCCUCAGUGGCAGAAAACAAACAAGUAAAUAAAUGUGAUCACAUGUCAAAAGACAAGGAAAUCACAUCCUGAGACCUGAUCAAGGCCUCUUUCUGCACCCCGAUAGGAGUCUGCAAGUCCGACACCUAAAAGUUCAGCACAUCAAUGUCGGAUGCUCCAAACGUGGCUUCCACUUUCACCUUCUCAUGCAUGUGGAACUGAACCUUCUUGUUGGUCAUGGCAAGGAGA
Molecule: long non-coding RNA, 3262 nt
Organism: Betta splendens (Siamese fighting fish)
Lineage: Eukaryota; Metazoa; Chordata; Actinopteri; Anabantiformes; Osphronemidae
Exons: 3
Source: RefSeq, a predicted model, not a curated record